This 497-nucleotide ribosomal RNA is filed under the name uncultured bacterium. Its description in RNAcentral is "partial 16S ribosomal RNA". It matches the Rfam family "Bacterial small subunit ribosomal RNA", at positions 28 to 507 of the family's 1533-position model. The record is from RNAcentral.
GAUGAACGCUGGCGGCGUGCCUAAUACAUGCAAGUCGAGCGAACAGACGAGGAGCUUGCUCCUCUGACGUUAGCGGCGGACGGGUGAGUAACACGUGGAUAACCUACCUAUAAGACUGGGAUAACUUCGGGAAACCGGAGCUAAUACCGGAUAAUAUAUUGAACCGCAUGGUUCAAUAGUGAAAGACGGUUUUGCUGUCACUUAUAGAUGGAUCCGCGCCGCAUUAGCUAGUUGGUAAGGUAACGGCUUACCAAGGCAACGAUGCGUAGCCGACCUGAGAGGUGGAUAGGCCACACGGGAACUGAGACACGGUCCAGACUCCUACGGGAGGCAGCAGUAGGGAAUCUUCCGCAAUGGGCGAAAGCUUGACGGAGCAACGCCGCGUGAGUGAUGAAGGUCUUCGGAUCGUAAAACUCUGUUAUUAGGGAAGAACAAAUGUGUAAGUAACUAUGCACGUCUUGACGGUACCUAAUCAGAAAGCCACGGCUAACUACGUG